GACCCUUUUAAUCGUAUGUCAUCUACUAAAUUCAAUCUAAUAAAUGAUAAUGCAUGUGUCCUCAGAUAAGCUCAACGAGAAUAGAAAACUCGUGUGGAACAAAAGGGUAAAAGCUUGUUUGAUUAUAAUUUCCACUACGAAUACGAACCGUGAAAGCAUGGCCUAUCGAUCCUUUAGACCUUCGGAGUUAGAAGCUACAGGUGUCCGAAAAGUUACCACAAGGAAAACUGGCUUGUGGCAGCCAAGCAUUCAAAGCGACAUUGCUUUUUUAUCCUUCGAUGUUGGCUCUUCCUAUCAUUGUGAAGCAGAAUUCACCAAGUGUUGGAUUGUUCACCCACUAAUAGGGAACGUGAGCUAGGUUAAGACCGUCGUGAGACAUUUUAGUU
This 386-nucleotide non-coding RNA is filed under the name Oryza meridionalis. Its description in RNAcentral is "rRNA LSU_rRNA_eukarya". It matches the Rfam family "Eukaryotic large subunit ribosomal RNA", at positions 2615 to 2988 of the family's 3401-position model. Lineage: Eukaryota; Viridiplantae; Streptophyta; Magnoliopsida; Poales; Poaceae. The record is from Rfam by way of RNAcentral.